AGGUUUAUAACUCAACGGUUAAGAGUGUCAUUUUAACAAGAUGAAAGUAAUUGGUUCAACUCCAAUUAGACCUA
This 74-nucleotide transfer RNA is filed under the name Candidatus Vidania fulgoroideorum. RNAcentral describes it as "Candidatus Vidania fulgoroideae tRNA-Val". It matches the Rfam family "tRNA". From Rfam's summary of the family: Transfer RNA (tRNA) molecules are approximately 80 nucleotides in length. Their secondary structure includes four short double-helical elements and three loops (D, anti-codon, and T loops). Lineage: Bacteria; Pseudomonadati; Pseudomonadota; Betaproteobacteria. The record is from RNAcentral.